CUCAAUGUAAGAGGUGAAAUAUUAUGCUCUGCACUCUAUAGUGUAUUCAAAGUUUCCUCAAGAUAUUUUUUAGAAAAAGUAUGAUACUUGAUCGAUUGCAGGGUAUUAUUCUGGCCCUCUAUAAUAAAAUGGACUUUGUACACUUAGUAUGCUCUUUUUGACACCUUAAAUCAUUAAAAUUAAGCCAUCUCUCAUCUAAUUAGAUAAUUAAAAAGGCUUUCUUCAGUUUCCUCAUUUGGCUGUGAAAAACUUCAAAAUUUCAAACAGGAAAAAAAGGUUAAGUAUCCAGAACCAUGAAUUAAAAGUAUUUAAACAUUACAGGACUACUGACUUUGGUAGGGGAUGUUUGACUAAUUAAUGAUUCUUACUUUACAGAAAACAGCAUUACAUUUUAAUAGGAAAUUUCAACCUGAACAGUCCUCCUUCAUCAGAAGAAAGAUGGUGAACUUGAAUGUUUUUCACUUCUUUGCAAUGCACAAAGAAUUCUGUGCUGGUGCGAGCGUUAAAGAUAGAGUGUAACAGCAUUCUCCCCACCUUUCAACAUGUUCCAUGUACCAGGAGGCCGACAUUACCAUGUCUCAGGAUGAUCUCUCCGGAGCUGUAUAUUUACCCUUAUGAAAGACCAAGAUUCUCUCACCUAUUUUCUCUGAAAUCAAUAAGAAGACACACAGCCCCGUUUAUACAAGAAGCAGCAAUUCCCAGAGAAAAUAGCGUUUAA
This 718-nucleotide long non-coding RNA is filed under the name Apteryx owenii (little spotted kiwi). Its description in RNAcentral is "lncRNA (ENSAOWG00000015263.1)". Lineage: Eukaryota; Metazoa; Chordata; Aves; Apterygiformes; Apterygidae. The record is from RNAcentral.